RNAcentral lists this ribosomal RNA (444 nucleotides) under uncultured bacterium. Its description in RNAcentral is "bacterial SSU rRNA". It matches the Rfam family "Bacterial small subunit ribosomal RNA", at positions 29 to 521 of the family's 1533-position model. The record is from RNAcentral.
AACGAACGCUGGCGGCAUGCCUAACACAUGCAAGUCGAACGAUGCCUUCGGGCAUAGUGGCGCACGGGUGCGUAACGCGUGGGAAUCUGCCCUUGGGUUCGGAAUAACUCAGAGAAAUUUGAGCUAAUACCGGAUGAUGACGUAAGUCCAAAGAUUUAUCGCCCAAGGAUGAGCCCGCGUAAGAUUAGCUAGUUGGUGGGGUAAAGGCCUACCAAGGCGACGAUCUUAGCUGGUCUGAGAGGAUGAUCAGCCACACUGGGACUGAGACACGGCCCAGACUCCUACGGGAGGCAGCAGUGGGGAAUAUUGGACAAUGGGCGAAAGCCUGAUCCAGCAAUGCCGCGUGAGUGAUGAAGGCCUUAGGGUUGUAAGCUCUUUACCAGGGAUGAUAAUGACAGUACCUGGAGAAUAAGCUCCGGCUAACUCCGUGCCAGCAGCCGCGGU